ACUCAAAUGAAUUGACGGGGGCUCACACAAGCGGUGGAGGAUGUGGUUUAAUUCGAAGCAACGCGCAGAACCUUACCAGGUCUUGACAUACCGGGAUUAACCGUGUGAAAGCAUGGGGAUUCUCAGCAAUGAGGUAACCGGAACAGGUGCUGCAUGGCUGUCGUCAGCUCGUGCCGCGAGGUGUUAGGUUAAGUCCUUUAACGAGCGAAACCCCUACGGCUAGUUACCAGCGCGUCAUGGCGGGGACUCUAGUCGGACUGCCGCGCAAGCAGGAGGAAGGUGGGGACGACGUCAAGUCAUCAUGGCCUUUAUGACCUGGGCCACACACGUCCUACAAUGGGUUCUACAAAGGGACGCAGAACCGUAAGGCGAAGCCAAUCCCCGAAAGGAACCCUCAGUUCAGAUUGUGGGCUGCAAUUCGCCCACAUGAAGCUGGAAUCGCUAGUAAUCGCGGAUCAGCCACGCCGCGGUGAAUUUGUUCCUGAGCCUUGUACACACCGCCCGU
This 505-nucleotide ribosomal RNA is filed under the name uncultured bacterium. RNAcentral describes it as "partial 16S ribosomal RNA". It matches the Rfam family "Bacterial small subunit ribosomal RNA", at positions 899 to 1397 of the family's 1533-position model. The record is from RNAcentral.